UCGCUACUACCGAUUGGAUGGCUUAGUGAGGUUUCGAGAUUGCGCUUUGUGGUUGGCUUGUCCUUCGGCAAGGUGCGAAAACGAAAUCAAACUUGACCAUCUAGAGGAAGUAA
RNAcentral lists this ribosomal RNA (113 nucleotides) under uncultured eukaryote. RNAcentral describes it as "partial small subunit ribosomal RNA". It matches the Rfam family "Eukaryotic small subunit ribosomal RNA", at positions 1676 to 1785 of the family's 1831-position model. The record is from RNAcentral.